GACGAACGCUGGCGGCGUGCCUAACACAUGCAAGUCGAGCGGAGUCGAUCGACGGAAGCCUUCGGGCGGAAGAUGGUUGACUUAGCGGCGGAUGGGUGAGUAACGCGUGGGAAACCUGCCCUAUACAGGGGGAUAGCCUCGGGAAACUGGGAUUAAUACCCCAUAAAACUCUAGUAUCGCAUGAUACAUGAGCCAAAGAUUUAUCGGUAUAGGAUGGUCCCGCGUCUGAUUAGCUAGUUGGUGAGGUAACGGCCUACCAAGGCGACGAUCGGUAGCUGGUCUGAGAGGAUGAUCAGCCACACUGGGACUGAGACACGGCCCAGACUCCUACGGGAGGCAGCAGUGGGGAAUUUUGGACAAUGGGCGAAAGCCUGAUCCAGCCAUGCCGCGUGCGGGAAGAAGGCCUUCGGUGUAACCGCUUAGUCCGGGAAAAGGGUGGCGAGGAUAAUACCCUCGUGCUUGAUGGUACUGGAAGAAUAAGACACCGGCUAACUACGUGCCACG
This 504-nucleotide ribosomal RNA is filed under the name uncultured bacterium. RNAcentral describes it as "bacterial SSU rRNA". It matches the Rfam family "Bacterial small subunit ribosomal RNA", at positions 28 to 512 of the family's 1533-position model. The record is from RNAcentral.